This 1250-nucleotide ribosomal RNA is filed under the name uncultured bacterium. RNAcentral's name for it is "bacterial SSU rRNA". The stretch from base 1 to 769 matches the Rfam family "Bacterial small subunit ribosomal RNA", at positions 54 to 873 of the family's 1533-position model. The record is from RNAcentral.
CAUGCAAGUCGAGCGAAUCGCAUACUGAUUGCCCCUUGGGUGACUAGCCCGUGGGGAUCUGCCUUUGGUUGUGAAUUAGCCUUCGUGAACUUGUGCUAAUACCGGAUAAGCCUGUACAGGCAAAGUUUUGUCGCCGAAAGAUGAGGUCAUACUUGAUUAGCCCACGGCAAAGGAUUAGCCUUACCGGGGUUACCAUCAUGGGGUGAUCUGGGAGCACGAUCGCCCCCAUUGCUACUGGGAUUGGGACCAUAAUCCUACGGGAGGGAACUGAGGGGAAUCUUGCACACUGAGGGAAGCCCUGAUGGGGCAAUGCCGCGUGAGUGAAGAAGGCCUUUGGCUUGUAUGCCUCUUUCGUCAGGAAAGAAAAUGACUGUUCCCGAAUAUUAAGGUCCGGCUAACUUCGUGCCAGCAGCCGCGGUAGCUGUGGGGACACUUACGUAAUUCGGAAUUACUGGCUCCGUGCCACUCGUAGGUGGUUAAGAAAGUUGUGCGAGAAAUCACAGGGCUUACCGUUGGAACUGCCACCACAACUUUUUGACUAAACUAUGAGAGAAGUAACUGGAAUUUCUAGGGUAAAUGCGUAUCUCAUAGAUAUUAUAAAGAGCACCAAUUGCUGAGACAACUUCCUGGAUAAUGACUGACACUGAAGAGAUCAGACAUGAUACCGAUGGAGAAUGAGAUACCCUCGUACACCAUGGUGGCACCGAUGCGUGCUAGACGUUAGAAAAUAAUAUUACAGUGCCUGAUCAAAAACGUUGAACACAACGUCUAGUAGAAUACUCGGGCCUGGGUACUUGUCUUUCGAAUUGACGGGUCCCGCACACCGUACUGGAGCGUGCGGUUUAAUUCUAAAUAUCCAAUGAAUCGUAGCAACACCUGGACAUGCUCGGCAGGAAGUCAUUAAAUUGGAUGUUAACCUAAUAGCACUACACACACGUGCCAUAUGGCUAACUUACCCUCGUGCUUGAGAUGCUUCGGUAACUCCGACACGAGGCUGACCCCUUACUCUUAGUUCCACUUUUGAGAUGAUGCACUCUAAAACAGCUGCCAGCUGCAAACCCUGAAGCUAAGGUGGCCAUGGCGUCAGGUCCCUCCUGCCCCGUGGCUGUUCGGCUAACACUGCUGAAGUGCACUACAUGAGAUGCUAUGUGGCUAGCUGACGACUCUCAACAGGGCCCUAGUCCGGAAUGGACUCUCGCAAUCAUGGCGAGUAGCUGAACUUCUUUAAAGAUGCCCUGUGCGAAUAAGCG